GAUGAACGCUGGCGGCGUGCCUAAUACAUGCAAGUCGAGCGAACAGACGAGGAGCUUGCUCCUCUGACGUUAGCGGCGGACGGGUGAGUAACACGUGGAUAACCUACCUAUAAGACUGGGAUAACUUCGGGAAACCGGAGCUAAUACCGGAUAAUAUAUUGAACCGCAUGGUUCAAUAGUGAAAGACGGUUUUGCUGUCACUUAUAGAUGGUUCCGCGCCGCAUUAGCUAGUUGGUAAGUUAACGGCUUACCAAGGCAACGAUGCGUAGCCGACCUGAGAGGGUGAUCGGCCACACUGGAACUGAGACACGGUCCAGACUCCUACGGGAGGCAGCAGUAGGGAAUCUUCCGCAAAGGGCGAAAGCCUGACGGAGCAACGCCGCGUGAGUGAUGAAGGUCUUCGGAUCGUAAAACUCUGUUAUUAGGGAAGAACAAAUGUGUAAGUAACUAUGCACGUCUUGACGGUACCUAAUCAGAAAGCCACGGCUAACUACGUG
RNAcentral lists this ribosomal RNA (497 nucleotides) under uncultured bacterium. RNAcentral describes it as "partial 16S ribosomal RNA". It matches the Rfam family "Bacterial small subunit ribosomal RNA", at positions 28 to 507 of the family's 1533-position model. The record is from RNAcentral.